CACGCCCUAAACGAUGCGAACUGGAUGUUGGGCUCAACUUGGAGCUCAGUAUCGAAGCUAACGCGUUAAGUUCGCCGCCUGGGGAGUACGGUCGCAAGACUGAAACUCAAAGGAAUUGACGGGGGCCCGCACAAGCGGUGGAGUAUGUGGUUUAAUUCGAUGCAACGCGAAGAACCUUACCUGGCCUUGACAUGCACGGAACUUUCCAGAGAUGGAUUGGUGCCUUCGGGAACCGUGACACAGGUGC
Molecule: ribosomal RNA, 247 nt
Filed under: uncultured Lysobacteraceae bacterium
Lineage: Bacteria; Pseudomonadati; Pseudomonadota; Gammaproteobacteria; Lysobacterales; Lysobacteraceae
Description: uncultured Xanthomonadaceae bacterium partial 16S ribosomal RNA
Rfam family: Bacterial small subunit ribosomal RNA
Source: RNAcentral